AUGAUAUUGAUUUGAAUGCGUUGAUUGUUGAAGAUUACAGUUCAUCAACUCCUGUUGAAUGUAAUCUCCCUAAUGGUGUUGAAUCGGAUUCACUAGUUGUAUGUAAUGCUAGUUCUUCAUGUUUUGAUGGUGAUCACGAUGACAUUCCAGAUGGCUGUAAUCCAUCUGCUGGAGGUGGUGGUACUUCUACAGAUGCCAAUG
Long non-coding RNA from Ipomoea triloba (trilobed morning glory), 201 nucleotides. RefSeq lists it as uncharacterized. Lineage: Eukaryota; Viridiplantae; Streptophyta; Magnoliopsida; Solanales; Convolvulaceae. The transcript is spliced from 3 exons. The record is from RefSeq and is a predicted model, not a curated record.